CAGCCGCCGCGGUAAUACAGAGGGUGCUAGCGUUAAUCGGAUUUACUGGGCGUAAAGCGUGCGUAGGCGGCUUCUUAAGUCGGAUGUGAAAUCCCUGAGCUUAACUUAGGAAUUGCAUUCGAUACUGGGAAGCUAGAGUAUGGGAGAGGAUGGUAGAAUUCCAGGUGUAGCGGUGAAAUGCGUAGAGAUCUGGAGGAAUACCGAUGGCGAAGGCAGCCAUCUGGCCUAAUACUGACGCUGAGGUACGAAAGCAUGGGGAGCAAACAGGAUUAGAUACCCCGGUAGUCCCUGUCUCUUAUAC
Molecule: ribosomal RNA, 301 nt
Filed under: uncultured bacterium
Lineage: Bacteria
Description: partial 16S ribosomal RNA
Rfam family: Bacterial small subunit ribosomal RNA
Source: RNAcentral